GAGCUACUCCCUCCGUUCGAAAAUACUUGUUUUAGAAUGGAUGUAUCUAAAUAUAUUUUAGUUAUCGAUACAUUCAUUUAUAUAUAUUUAUGCGACAAGUAAUUUUGGAUGAAGGAAGUAUAUA
RNAcentral lists this microRNA precursor (124 nucleotides) under Hordeum vulgare. RNAcentral describes it as "microRNA MIR1122". It matches the Rfam family "MIR1120/MIR1122 microRNA precursor family". The record is from RNAcentral. Lineage: Eukaryota; Viridiplantae; Streptophyta; Magnoliopsida; Poales; Poaceae.